This 494-nucleotide ribosomal RNA is filed under the name uncultured bacterium. RNAcentral describes it as "partial 16S ribosomal RNA". It matches the Rfam family "Bacterial small subunit ribosomal RNA", at positions 28 to 507 of the family's 1533-position model. The record is from RNAcentral.
GACGAACGCUGGCGGCGUGCUUAACACAUGCAAGUCGAACGGUGAAGCGCCUUCCUUUUUGGUGGGUGUGGAUGAGUGGCGAACGGGUGAGUAACACGUGAGUAACCUGCCCCCUUCUUCUGGAUAACCGCAUGAAAGUGUGGCUAAUACGGGAUAUUCUGGGUCUGUCGCAUGAUGGGUCUGGGAAAGAUAUUGUUUCGGUGGGGGAUGGGCUCGCGGCCUAUCAGCUUGUUGGUGGGGUGAUGGCCUACCAAGGCGGUGACGGGUAGCCGGCCUGAGAGGGUGGACGGUCACGCUGGGACUGCGCCACGGCCCCGACUCCUACGGGAGGCAGCAGUGGGGAAUAUUGCACAAUGGGCGCAAGCCUGAUGCAGCGACGCCGCGUGAGGGAUGGAGGCCUGCGGGUUGUGAACCUCUUUCGCCAGUGAAGCAGGCCUGCCUCGUUUGUGGGUGGGUUGACGGUAGCUGGAUAAGAAGCGCCGGCUAACUACGUG